ACUUCAUGUCUUCAUCUCUCUGAACCUGCGGUCUAUGCGCUGUUUUUAAAUUUUAGCCCCCGUGUUCAUUGUCCCUAAGAAUGAUCUCAGACGCCUUGAUUUUAAUGGCUCCCAUUUCCUCACUAAAUCUCCAAUGGCCAGUAGUGUGUUGUUCCAAAUUUUGCAGUAAACAAGAAUCACAAAACCAAACAAAGUAUACGCAGAUUUUUCACGCGUGUCAUGCUCCGUUGAUUGGCGUCCGCUUCUAUUCAUAGGUUUGCCGUCGGACGCUGCCAAUUCCCAGCCUCUCCUUGUCUCCCCGAGGCUAAAAAUGGGAAGUGCCGGCGACCUAUUUGUACAUUCCUCCGGCGAACCGGAGCUCCGUCAAGCCAGCCGAGAUCCUUGACAGUGCAGUGCCAAGACUCGGGGGGGCAAUUUUGCUCCCUCUUCCCGCUCGUGCCCAGGCCGGGGCCUUGCUUGCUAGCUAGCUUUGAAGCCAGCCAGCAACGCCGCCGCCGCAGGCAUGAAGGGGAGCGGUGCAGCGAUGCCGUCGUCCAUGUUCUACGUCCACGAGGCGGACGUCGCCCAAAUCCACCACUUCCUCGAGGAGUGCUCCCUCUGCGGCAAGUCCCUCUCCGGUGACAUCUUCAUGUACAGGGGAGACACGCCGUUCUGCAGCGAGGAGUGCAGGCAGCAGCAGAUCGAGGUGGACAGGGCGAAGCACCGGCGGAAGAAGCGUGCGGCGGCGCACGCGGUGUCGGUGCGGAAGGAGCACCGGAACCACCACCACCACCACCGGCACCACCACCAGCAGCCACAGCCGCGGCCGGCCAUCGACGCCAACCCGUGGGGCACCGCGCGAGGCCCCGCGUUGCGCGUGUGAGACCGAUCGAGCCGCAUCCGCGCGUCGGGCGCGCGGGGAGGCCACGUCUUUUUUAUUUUCGGGACUUCUGGUGCGACACGGGCAGGACGACGGAGACAAAUACAUUUUCACAACAAUAAAACUGGAAGCCGUUUGUUUCGCCGAAGCUGUUAGGGGGAUUUGGAGGUCAUCAAGGGCCUGUCCCUUUGCCAAGCUGCAAAAUCUAAGUGCCCAAGGAGUCCUGACAGAAAAACAAGUUCUUGAAGUUAAGGUUAUGGUCCUUCUAGAUGUUAGCAUGGAGUAGAUUUCUUUAUGAUGAGAACACAGAGUUGUGUCUUUAGUAUGUCGAUGCAAGCUUAUUUACUUGUUCUUUAGAAACAGAGAGGAAAACCCCGGUUCCAACAUAUUUGAAACCGAAGAGGCUUGCUUUACUUGUUGCUUCCCUACUUUUGCUUUUGCUGGGCUCAACUGUAAGCGUGUGAAACCCAACAAGUUUUAUGAACACUCUUAGGCUGACU
Molecule: RNA transcript, 1359 nt
Organism: Oryza sativa Japonica Group (Japanese rice)
Lineage: Eukaryota; Viridiplantae; Streptophyta; Magnoliopsida; Poales; Poaceae
Gene name: FCS-Like Zinc finger 1
Source: RefSeq, a predicted model, not a curated record